This 253-nucleotide ribosomal RNA is filed under the name uncultured bacterium. RNAcentral's name for it is "partial 16S ribosomal RNA". It matches the Rfam family "Bacterial small subunit ribosomal RNA", at positions 524 to 776 of the family's 1533-position model. The record is from RNAcentral.
UACGAAGGGGGCUAGCGUUGCUCGGAUUGACUGGGCGUAAAGGGCGCGUAGGCGGUUCGUACAGUCAGACGUGAAAUUCCUGGGCUCGACCUGGGGGCUGCGUUUGAUACGUGCGGACUUGAGUGCGGAAGAGGGUCGUGGAAUUCCCAGUGUAGAGGUGAAAUUCGUAGAUAUUGGGAAGAACACCGGUGGCGAAGGCGGCGACCUGGUCCGAUACUGACGCUGAGGCGCGAAAGCGUGGGGAGCAAACAGG